Molecule: non-coding RNA, 31 nt
Filed under: Rattus norvegicus (Norway rat)
Lineage: Eukaryota; Metazoa; Chordata; Mammalia; Rodentia; Muridae
Source: RNAcentral
UCAGAUGCUUAGAGAUAGGUUUUUGACCCUU